RNAcentral lists this ribosomal RNA (118 nucleotides) under Cephalotus follicularis. The record is from RNAcentral. Lineage: Eukaryota; Viridiplantae; Streptophyta; Magnoliopsida; Oxalidales; Cephalotaceae.
GGGUGUGAUCAUACCAACACUAAUGCACCAGAUCCCAUAUGAACGUCGAAAAUAAACGUGCUUGGGCGAGAAUAGUACUAAGAUGGGCUUUGUCUCAGAACUUUCACAGACACAGGCA